GCCCCCGUAGCUCAGCUGGAUAGAGCACCGGCCUCCGGAGCCGGACGCACAGGUUCGAGUCCUGUCGGGGGUA
This 73-nucleotide transfer RNA is filed under the name Thermus scotoductus. RNAcentral's name for it is "tRNA-Arg". It matches the Rfam family "tRNA". Rfam says of the family: Transfer RNA (tRNA) molecules are approximately 80 nucleotides in length. Their secondary structure includes four short double-helical elements and three loops (D, anti-codon, and T loops). Lineage: Bacteria; Thermotogati; Deinococcota; Deinococci; Thermales; Thermaceae. The record is from RNAcentral. RNAcentral also lists the same sequence under 1 other name.